AUAGUUGGGGAGCUGGCACAGCCGGCUGAGAGUAAACACAAGGUUUAGACCCAUAACCUGAUUUGGAUAAUGCCAACGUAGGGAUGCGUAC
RNAcentral lists this non-coding RNA (91 nucleotides) under pig gut metagenome. RNAcentral describes it as "TPP riboswitch (THI element)". The stretch from base 6 to 84 matches the Rfam family "TPP riboswitch aptamer (THI element)", at positions 11 to 88 of the family's 105-position model. Rfam says of the family: Vitamin B(1) in its active form thiamin pyrophosphate (TPP) is an essential coenzyme that is synthesised by coupling of pyrimidine and thiazole moieties in bacteria. The previously detected thiamin-regulatory element, thi box was extended, resulting in a new, highly conserved RNA secondary structure, the THI element, which is widely distributed in eubacteria and also occurs in some archaea. Analysis of operon structures identified a large number of new candidate thiamin-regulated genes, mostly transporters, in various prokaryotic organisms. The record is from RNAcentral.